RNAcentral lists this ribosomal RNA (103 nucleotides) under Acanthosepion pharaonis. The record is from RNAcentral. Lineage: Eukaryota; Metazoa; Mollusca; Cephalopoda; Sepiida; Sepiidae.
UAUCAUUGAAACUCCAGUUCUCAUAUGAUCAACAAAGUUAAGCAACAUCGAGCCUGGUCAGUACCUAAAUGGGUGACUGCUUGGGAAUACCAGUUGCUGUAAG